AAUAAAAAUCGGUGGUGCAGUAUUCUAGUCAGAAGCAAAUAUACUGAAGGCGGGGCUAAAAGACCGUCGACGAGCAUAUCGAUGAAGUUUCUGGUGCUGGCUUUCGUUGCCCAAACGAGGGCUUGUGCUGGAAGUUAAGAUUGAUGGGUAAGGCAUAACGGCAUAUGUUCUAUCCCCAUCUUUCGUGGAGACUCUACAGGGUGGUUUCGCCUUAAUGGCGCAACUACUCUCUGAGAUUAAACCUGCUAUGCGGUGAAUUUGAAAGCUGUGUACAGCGUAGCUUGUUUUGAGUGGGAUUUUGGGAGUAUUGAACGACAAAACGUUUGUUGGCCAACAACGUUUUUCGACUGCUUUACGAAAUGAAUUCUGCAAAAGAAACUAAAGUACGUGGGCUUCUGCAAAGGAAAUCUUCUAGACUGUUUGCACCUAUCGGAGAUUAUAGUACGGACUAAGUGGCGAUUCAGUUGCACGUGCGGUAACGUCGUGCACGCGAAACGAAAAGGAAACUGCUUCUUCGGCGACGGGAAGUUUUUGCGUGGGAAAUCCUACUGAACCUAUGCCGUAAGGUUUAUCCGAUAGGUUACCACCUUUUUUAUG
This 597-nucleotide small RNA is filed under the name human gut metagenome. The record is from RNAcentral.